GACGAACGCUGGCGGCGUGCCUAAUACAUGCAAGUAGAACGCACAGUUUAUACCGUAGCUUGCUACACCAUAGACUGUGAGUUGCGAACGGGUGAGUAACGCGUAGGUAACCUGCCUGGUAGCGGGGGAUAACUAUUGGAAACGAUAGCUAAUACCGCAUAAUAUUAAUUAUUGCAUGAUAAUUAAUUGAAAGGUGCAAUUGCACCACUACCAGAUGGACCUGCGUUGUAUUAGCUAGUAGGUGAGGUAACGGCUCACCUAGGCGACGAUACAUAGCCGACCUGAGAGGGUGAUCGGCCACACUGGGACUGAGACACGGCCCAGACUCCUACGGGAGGCAACAGUAGGGAAUCUUCGGCAAUAGACGAAAGUCUGACCGAGCAACGCCGCGUGAGUGAAGAAGGUUUUCGGAUCGUAAAGCUCUGUUGUAAGAGAAGAACGGGUGUGAGAGUGGAAAGUUCACACUGUGACGGUAUCUUACCAGAAAGGGACGGCUAACUACGUG
This 505-nucleotide ribosomal RNA is filed under the name uncultured bacterium. Its description in RNAcentral is "partial 16S ribosomal RNA". It matches the Rfam family "Bacterial small subunit ribosomal RNA", at positions 28 to 507 of the family's 1533-position model. The record is from RNAcentral.